CUCACUGUGGUUGACUACAAGCUGCCAUUGGUGGACUCACUGAUCAGAGGAUAGAAUGUGCACCAGAGACCCUUGUAGCUGGCAUGAGCUGAUGGGGUUUUGUUUCUGUGCCAUCCUUUCAUCCAUCCAUCCAUCCAUCCAUCCAUCCAUCCAUCCAUGACAGGACCACAACCACAUCUUUAGGCAGGAGCCACAGAGGGGGCAGAGUCCAGUACCCACAGGGAGGCAGUGAGCACAAGCAGACAGUGUGUCAGGGCUCCAGUCCCACAAACUGGAUUGGCCUGGCUUAGAGGCAGCAGGACCCAGUGCUAAGUCAUAGAGCUGAGUCAAGAUUUCAGCCAAGAGUGGGAGGAAGACUGUGCACAAAGAGGCUGCAGGGGUGCCAGCCCUCAUUUCAGAUCUCCUUCAAAACCAGCAUCAAGACCCGGUGAGUAAUGCCCAUGGAUUGAUGCCGUGGAUGCUAUGGAUGGUUUUCCUCUCCUGGUCAGACCUGGCUCAGACACAAAUAAGGGGGAACUGGCUGCAGGACAUCACUAGCGACUCCCAAGCCAGGACCAGGUGGAUCAAGGACUCCAGUCAACCCCCAGUGAAUGAAUCUGACAUCUUCAUCUACCUGCAUAAGAGCAAGAGAGUAUUCCUAUUCUUUGGACCACAGUAAGAGGCAUAGGGGGAAGAUCUAUUGCUAUGAGAUAAAUAAGAAAAUUUCAGACAAUGGAAAAGAACAAUCAGCUGGGCUCAGGACAUAAAAGAUAACAGGGGCCUAACAACUGGCAACGGUGAAACUGCUUUGCCCAUGAGAGUGUCCCAAAGAUGGGGGCCAACAUGCAUUCAACAUGUCUUCAUGUCACUGCAGUUUCAGGACUAUUUGAAAACUUGGAAAGAUGGAGAUGUAAAGGCAAGUAUAGAAAAUGUAAAUGGCUUCCCCAUAUUACCAUAGAUUGGAGAUCAUUUUUCCUAUUCUUUUCAAAUGGGGAGUGGAAUCUGAGCCUCAGCACUGAGUUUCCCACAGGAGCUUGGAAUCAAUGAAUAGUACAAAGUCCCUUAAAACCCCAGCACUACCAUUUCUUAGCUGUGUUACUUUGGAGAAAUGAAUUAAGCUUUCUGUGUCUCCCCCCCCC
Sus scrofa (pig) is the source of this 1118-nucleotide non-coding RNA. Lineage: Eukaryota; Metazoa; Chordata; Mammalia; Artiodactyla; Suidae. The record is from RefSeq and is a predicted model, not a curated record.